GAAAUGCGAUAAGUAAUGUGAAUUGCAGAAUUCAGUGAAUCAUCGAAUCUUUGAACGCACCUUGCGCUCCUUGGUAUUCCUUGGAGCAUGCCUGUUUGAGUAUCAUGAAAUCUUCAAAGUAAAUCUUUUGUUAACUCAAUUGGUUUCUACUUUGGUAUUGGAGGUCUUUGCAGCUUCACACCUGCUCCUCUUUGUUCAUUAGCUGGAUCUCAGUGUUAUGCUUGGUUCCACUCGGCGUGAUAAGUUAUCUAUCGCUGAGGACACUGUAAAAGGUGGUCAAGGUAAAUGCAGAUGAACCGCUUCUAGUAGUCCAUUGACUUGGACAAUACUUUUAUGAUCUGAUCUCAAAUCAGGUAGGACUACCCGCUGAACUUAAGC
RNAcentral lists this unclassified non-coding RNA (378 nucleotides) under plant metagenome. RNAcentral's name for it is "partial contains 5.8S ribosomal RNA, internal transcribed spacer 2, and large subunit ribosomal RNA". The stretch from base 1 to 105 matches the Rfam family "5.8S ribosomal RNA", at positions 50 to 154 of the family's 154-position model. The record is from RNAcentral.